RNAcentral lists this transfer RNA (93 nucleotides) under Streptomyces reticuli. RNAcentral describes it as "tRNA-Lys". Lineage: Bacteria; Bacillati; Actinomycetota; Actinomycetes; Kitasatosporales; Streptomycetaceae. The record is from RNAcentral.
UGGGCGUUGGCGUAGGCGGCGAAGCCGGUGCCCUUGACGCCGGAGUCGCUGCCGGCGGCGGUGGAGAGUUGGAUCACGACCAUGGCGCCCGCC